GAUGAACGCUGGCGGCGUGCUUAACACAUGCAAGUCGAACGAAGCGCUUAAACGGAUUUCUUCGGAAUGAAGUUUUUGCGACUGAGUGGGCGACGGGUGAAGGUACGCGUAGGUAACUGCCUCAUACAGGGGGAUAACAGUUAGAAAUGACUGCUAAUACCGCAUAAGCGCACAGUGCUGCAUGGCACAGUGUGAAAAACUCCGGUGGUAUGAGAUGGACCCGCGUCUGAAUUAGCUAGUUGGUGGGGUAACGGCCUACCAAGGCGACGAUCAGUAGCCGGCCUGAGAGGGUGAACGGCCACAUUGGGACUGAGACACGGCCCAA
This 325-nucleotide ribosomal RNA is filed under the name uncultured bacterium. RNAcentral's name for it is "bacterial SSU rRNA". It matches the Rfam family "Bacterial small subunit ribosomal RNA", at positions 28 to 334 of the family's 1533-position model. The record is from RNAcentral.